This 30-nucleotide non-coding RNA is filed under the name Rattus norvegicus (Norway rat). The record is from RNAcentral. Lineage: Eukaryota; Metazoa; Chordata; Mammalia; Rodentia; Muridae.
UCAAUAGGGUAAGCACCAUGCUGCCAGUUC